This 253-nucleotide ribosomal RNA is filed under the name uncultured bacterium. Its description in RNAcentral is "partial 16S ribosomal RNA". It matches the Rfam family "Bacterial small subunit ribosomal RNA", at positions 524 to 776 of the family's 1533-position model. The record is from RNAcentral.
GACAGAGGUGCCAAGCGUUAGGCGGAAUCACUGGGCUUAAAGCGUGUGUAGGCGGAUCGUUAAGUACCUUGUGAAAUCCCACGGCUCAACCGUGGAACUGCUGGGUAUACUGGCGAUCUUGAGCCACCUAGGGGCGAGCGGAACAAACGGUGGAGCGGUGAAAUGCGUAGAUAUCUGGAGGAACACCGGUGGCGAAGGCGGCAUCCUGGACCGACAUUGACGCUGAGGCGCGAAAGCCAGGGGAGCAAACGGG